RNAcentral lists this ribosomal RNA (253 nucleotides) under uncultured bacterium. Its description in RNAcentral is "partial 16S ribosomal RNA". It matches the Rfam family "Bacterial small subunit ribosomal RNA", at positions 524 to 776 of the family's 1533-position model. The record is from RNAcentral.
GACGUAGGGAGCGAGCGUUGUCCGGAAUUACUGGGCGUAAAGAGCUCGUAGGCGGGACCGUAAGUCCGAGAGGAAAUCUCAAGGCUCAACUUUGGGGCUUUCUUGGAUACCGCGGUUCUUGAGGAUGAGAGAGGUAAGCAGAAUUCCCGGUGUAGCGGUGAAAUGCGUAGAUAUCGGGAGGAAUACCAGUGGCGAAGGCGGCUUACUGGCUCAUUCCUGACGCUGAGGAGCGAAAGCGUGGGGAGCAAACGGG